UACGGGGGGGGCAAGCGUUGUUCGGAAUUACUGGGCGUAAAGGGCUCGUAGGUGGCCAACUAAGUCAGACGUGAAAUCCCUCAGCUUAACUGGGGAACUGCGUCUGAUACUGGAUGGCUUGAGUUUGGGAGAGGGAUGCGGAAUUCCAGGUGUAGCGGUGAAAUGCGUAGAUAUCUGAAGGAACACCGGUGGCGAAGGCGGCAUCCUGGACCAACACUGACACUGAGGAGCGAAAGCCAGGGGAGCAAACGGG
RNAcentral lists this ribosomal RNA (253 nucleotides) under uncultured bacterium. RNAcentral's name for it is "partial 16S ribosomal RNA". It matches the Rfam family "Bacterial small subunit ribosomal RNA", at positions 524 to 776 of the family's 1533-position model. The record is from RNAcentral.